Molecule: transfer RNA, 76 nt
Filed under: Micromonas pusilla
Lineage: Eukaryota; Viridiplantae; Chlorophyta; Mamiellophyceae; Mamiellales; Mamiellaceae
Description: partial Selenocysteine transfer RNA
Source: RNAcentral
GAGCACGCGCUCCAAGUCCGGGUCGAUGGGGUCGGGAUCCUCUCCCGUGCGGGCGCGGGUUCGAUUCCCGUCCGCG